CGGGCGGGCGCAGCCGCUCCCCGCACCAGCGGCGGGGCAGCGCAGCUGGCAUGGUGCUGGUGGUAGCUCGCCGCGCCCGCGUUGCACGGAGGAAGCCGGAGCGGAGCCGCGAUGGAGAUGUUGCUGCCGCCCGUAUGUACCAAACUUUGCCAUCAGAAGCCCUUGGAUCUGAAAGAAGAUAACACUGAAAUUCACUGUCCUAUUACAGUAAAUCCAUGGCACAUGAAGAAAGCUUUUAAAGUUAUGAAUGAAUUAAGAAGUCAGAACUUGCUGUGUGAUGUGACGAUAGUAGCUGAAGACAUGGAAAUUGCAGCACAUAGAGUUGUGUUAGCCGCCUGCAGCCCCUACUUCCAUGCCAUGUUUACAGGUGAGAUGAGUGAAAGCCGAGCAAAAAAAGUUCGAAUAAAAGAAGUUGAUGGCUGGACUCUAAGGAUGCUUAUUGAUUAUAUUUACACUGCUGAAAUUCAAGUUACAGAAGAAAAUGUGCAGGUACUGCUCCCAGCAGCUGGUCUCUUGCAACUGCAGGAUGUGAAAAGAACUUGCUGUGAAUUUUUGGAAUCUCAGCUUCAUCCUAUCAACUGCCUGGGGAUUCGUGCUUUUGCUGACAUGCAUGCAUGCACAGAUCUCCUGAGCAAGGCCAACACAUAUGCAGAGCAGCACUUUUCCGAUGUUGUACUUAGUGAAGAAUACCUUAAUCUUGGUGUAGAGCAGGUGUGCAGUCUGAUAUCCAGUGACAAACUCACAAUUGCCUCAGAGGAGAAGGUAUUUGAAGCAGUGAUAGCCUGGGUAAACCAUGACAAAGAUGUAAGGCAGGAGUUAAUGGCACGUCUGAUGGAGCACGUUCGGCUGCCUUUGCUUUCCCGCGAGUAUUUGGUUCAGAGAGUUGAAGAGGAAAUAUUGGUUAAGAACAGCAGUGCUUGUAAAGAUUACCUCAUUGAAGCUAUGAAAUAUCACUUGCUACCAACUGAGCAACGGGCACUGAUGAAAAGCACACGGACAAAACUGAGGACACCUGCUAGCCUUCCAAAAUUGAUGAUGGUAGUUGGGGGACAGGCACCAAAGGCAAUUCGCAGUGUUGAAUGCUAUGAUUUUAAAGAAGAACGCUGGCAUCAGGUAGCUGAAUUGCCUUCCAGAAGAUGUAGAGCAGGAAUGGUGUACAUGGGAGGCAUGGUUUAUGCUGUUGGUGGUUUCAAUGGCUCUUUGAGAGUUCGUACAGUAGAUUCCUAUGAUCCAGUGAAGGACCAGUGGACAAGUGUUGCUAACAUGCAAGACAGGAGAAGCACACUGGGAGCAGCUGUAUUAAAUGGCCUUCUUUAUGCUGUGGGAGGAUUUGAUGGGAGUACAGGUUUGUCAUCAGUCGAAGUUUACAACUUAAAGACUAACGAGUGGUUUCAUGUAGCUCCAAUGAACACAAGAAGAAGUAGUGUUGGCGUAGGUGUUGUUGGAGGGAAGCUGUAUGCUGUUGGUGGCUACGACGGAGCGUCACGGCAGUGCCUUAGUUCAGUGGAAUGCUAUGAUGCCAAUUCCAAUGAGUGGAGCUAUGUCGCAGAAAUGAGCACGAGGCGGAGCGGAGCAGGUUUUUUCAACUCGCAGAAGUUGUUUUAUUUCUCUAGAUGCGUUCCCAUGGACUUUUUCAAGUCAAAUUCCAUGAUAUUAUUUUCUGCAUUUAUUUUUUAGUAAUUAAGUCACUUUUUUUGCCAAGUACUUAAUGGUGGUUUUUAGCAACACCCUUCAAGUACCUACUGGUGAUUGCAUUAAUGUGCUUCAUAAUGGAAAGAGAUAUUGCUACAAAUAAAUCUGCAUGGACUUCUAGUAUGCUCAGUAUAUGAUUAAUAAUUACCCCAACUUCUCAUCUUACCUUCCAUUAUUCUUUGUUAACUCUGAACAGUUUUUACCAUAUAAUAAUGUUUAAAUUAACUUCAAAUAAUUUCAAAAGAAAUCUAUCAAAGUACUAAAUUUGUUACUAAAAUUAAGAUAGUCUGUGAUACUUCCAUCAUAUCCUUACAAGAUCAACAAGCUGAUAACUCUUAUUACUAGAAGUCACAUUUCAAUUGUAUUUCUGAACUAAAACUUGGACGUUAAUAAAGGAAAUAUGAUACACUGUACCUCAAGAAAACACAGCUGACUUGUGAAACUUCUAGUAACUCAGAAGUUUGUGCUUCUUGGAAGCAAAUUCUGGAUUAAAAACUGGACAGAGUUGCACUAAGGGUACUGGAAAAUACUCCUGUCUAAUAUUGGCAAGUUUUGAGGAAAAUAUUUAUAUAAAAUGGGCAAGUUACAAGAAUCAUUAUAAGGACAAAUAGUGUCGGUGAGUUGUGACAAAGUUUCAUUUUGCAGUCUGCCUGCAUACACAUUUUGUUUCAGUGUUUGGGGUUUAUUUUUUGAUACUCUGUUUUUGCAAACUGUUGUUGUGCUUGUAGCCUAUUUAUACAGCAGAUGUUUUCAGAUUUUUUUUAAAUGUUGAAUUUCUUCUGCAACUCUGAAAUUUAGUUCCUUAAAUAUACUAACUACUGGGAUCUUCCUGCCCCUCUCCUCUCUUCCCUUGUUUCUGUGUUUGCUUACUCAACUCUCUUCUGCCUUUUACCUGGCCCAGUGAUUAAAAAAAAAACGGAGAGGAAAACUACACGUAGACAGUUAUUCUAGAUUCAUAUAAUUGAGUAAAAUAAUCAGCAUUCUUCUGUGACACUCUGUUAAAUACAUGAAAAAUUAUAUUUUUGCAUGGCAGAGGAGUGGGUGGUAAUGUGAAAAUCGUGACUAUUGAUUGAGCUUGACUGUAGAGGCCAAAUAGCCAAACCCACCAGAACUGUUUCAACUGGCAAUCAGUCCUGGUGGUGUUAUGGGGUCUAACUAAAGAUAAUUUUGUUCCUGUAUUCAACUUUUGGAUGUCUUGUCAUCUCAAAGAACUUGAGCUCAUCUCUGCUGUUCCUACUGCUUCAGCUUCACUCAAAAACAACUUUUCAGAGGUUAACCCUCAGUUACUCUUCUUUAGUACCCACUGCUUCUCAGUUGAUCAAUACGGGGACAGAUCUGUUUCCAGCAACAUAUUGGGAGGAGGAACUUCAGAUCCAGAUAUAGGCCAUUUGGGAGGGCUGAGAGAUAUAAGACAGGGUCCUGAAAAAUGGGCAGGAAAGAAAAAUAACAAAGAAAGGAGAACUCAGAAGACGGCAACAAGAGGAUACAGACGGAAGGAGCAAGAAAUAAGGUGUUGGUGUGUUAAACAAUUUAUUGUAUGCAGUAGGUGGUCAUGAUGGUCCUUUGGUAAGAAAAAGUGUUGAAGUGUUUGA
This is an RNA transcript of Vidua chalybeata, 3284 nucleotides long. It is a transcript of the gene named kelch like family member 2, with no coding region annotated. NCBI's taxonomy places the organism in Eukaryota, Metazoa, Chordata, Aves, Passeriformes, Viduidae. The record is from RefSeq and is a predicted model, not a curated record. The transcript is spliced from 14 exons.